AUGUCCCAACUUGGUAGAUGAUUCUAGGUUUCCUUGUGUGAUUAAAAGUCCAAAAUUGUCUCCAGCGUGUUUUGGCGCGGCCGCGCGAAAAUCAGUCAAAAUCUCACACGGCCGCACGAGAAUCGCCGAAACCUUCUGCCCAACUUCUGCAGUUGGCACGGCCGUGCCAAAAAUAGGCUAAAUUUGGCACGGCCGCGCGGGCAUUUUCAGCCAAUU
This 216-nucleotide long non-coding RNA is filed under the name Erythranthe guttata (spotted monkey flower). RNAcentral describes it as "long non-coding RNA (EGUT_LNC001259)". The record is from RNAcentral. Lineage: Eukaryota; Viridiplantae; Streptophyta; Magnoliopsida; Lamiales; Phrymaceae.